Molecule: ribosomal RNA, 498 nt
Filed under: uncultured bacterium
Lineage: Bacteria
Description: partial 16S ribosomal RNA
Rfam family: Bacterial small subunit ribosomal RNA
Source: RNAcentral
GACGAACGCUGGCGGCGUGCCUAAUACAUGCAAGUCGAGCGGACGAAUCGAAAGCUUGCUUUUGAUUCGUUAGCGGCGGACGGGUGAGUAACACGUGGGCAACCUGCCCUGUAGACGGGGAUAACACCGAGAAAUCGGUGCUAAUACCGGAUAACACGAAAUGUCGCAUGACGUUUCGUUGAAAGACGGUGCAAGCUGUCGCUACAGGAUGGGCCCGCGGCGCAUUAGCUAGUUGGUGAGGUAACGGCUCACCAAGGCGACGAUGCGUAGCCGACCUGAGAGGGUGAUCGGCCACACUGGGACUGAGACACGGCCCAGACUCCUACGGGAGGCAGCAGUAGGGAAUCUUCCGCAAUGGACGAAAGUCUGACGGAGCAACGCCGCGUGAGCGAAGAAGGCCUUCGGGUCGUAAAGCUCUGUUGUUAGGGAAGAACAAGUAACGCAGUAACUGGCGUUACCGUGACGGUACCUAACGAGAAAGCCACGGCUAACUACGUG